GGUCAUUUUUGCCUGCUACUAACCCUCUUCCACCAGUAGGGGCGUUAGGAGCUGAGUUCUGGGUGGUCAGGUGUUUCGCAUGAGUGUCAUCAGCUGGAGGACUAUAAGAAGGAGGCGAGCCAGUACUUCGACGCCUGAGUGUUUUGCCUCUUCGUGGUUGAUCAAGCCUCGUUCAUGAGAGAUAUCAGAAGGAACUUACCAACAGUUUUUAAGGACUCUGGAUUCUUGUUUUGUUCCGCUGGCAGCCAGAUCUGACGUUGUCCUCACAGCUUCAAGCGAACCCUGUCCACCCUCCACCAUAACGGGCAGUGUUGCAUAGCCCGCCGCUCACCAAGAUCACAACCUCUCUCCCUGGCGGACUUAACCCUACCCAAUUCUCUCUGCUACUUCUGUUUCCUGCACCUGAGCCUGAAAAUAAAGUUUUCUUAAACGUU
This is a long non-coding RNA of Girardinichthys multiradiatus, 434 nucleotides long. RefSeq lists it as uncharacterized. The record is from RefSeq and is a predicted model, not a curated record. The transcript is spliced from 3 exons. NCBI's taxonomy places the organism in Eukaryota, Metazoa, Chordata, Actinopteri, Cyprinodontiformes, Goodeidae.